UUUUAAUUGAAGGCUUGUAUGAAGGGUCGGACAAAGGAUAAGCUGUCUUUAAUCUUUCUUUUGAAUUUGUCUUUUAAGUGAAAAGACUUAAAUUAUUUUAAGGGACGAUAAGACCCUAUAAAGCUUUAUAUUAAUAUGUCUUUAUUUUAAUUUUUAAUGUUUACAGAGAUAAAGGUGUUAAAAUAUUAUAUUGGGGUGAUAAGAAUAAUUAAUAAACUGUUCUAAAAUAAACAAAGUUAUUUGUAAGCAUAAUAGAUCCUUUAUAUAGAUUGCAAGUUUAAGUUACUUUAGGGAUAACAGCGUUAUUUUUUUUGAGAGUUCUAAUCGAAAAAAAAGUUUGCGACCUCGAUGUUGAAUUAAAAUUUCUUUAUGGUGUAGCCGUUAUAAAAGAAAGUCUGUUCGACUUUUAAAAUUUUACGUGAUCU
RNAcentral lists this ribosomal RNA (425 nucleotides) under Galathea consobrina. RNAcentral's name for it is "partial 16S ribosomal RNA". The stretch from base 293 to 425 matches the Rfam family "Bacterial large subunit ribosomal RNA", at positions 2473 to 2606 of the family's 2925-position model. The record is from RNAcentral. Lineage: Eukaryota; Metazoa; Arthropoda; Malacostraca; Decapoda; Galatheidae. RNAcentral also lists the same sequence under 1 other name.